Molecule: long non-coding RNA, 673 nt
Organism: Peromyscus eremicus (cactus mouse)
Lineage: Eukaryota; Metazoa; Chordata; Mammalia; Rodentia; Cricetidae
Exons: 3
Source: RefSeq, a predicted model, not a curated record
CUUGGUUAAACAAAGUGGGUCAUUGAGAGUAGCUCCUGAAAUGGUUUAUCUUGUCUUUGGAUCUCUUCACAUACAAGCUCCCUCUCCUGUGAUCCUGGUGGCCAUAAAGUGAGUAACUUGGUUCCACCAUGGUGCCUUGCUUCACCACAGCCCAGGAACAACAGAGUCAGGCGACUGAGGAUGAGAAGUUCUGAAAGCACAGAGGGAGGAGACAAUCCUGUGUGGGCUUUGAGGACAAGGGAACGCUCCAUCUAGAGUCCAGUCUUCUCCCCUGAAUCAUUCCUUCAUCACAUGUGACGUCAGCACGUUGUCUGCCAAGUAGAGGUGGCGCAACGUGGACAUCCGGAAGUGACGCAGGAGGACGAAGGUGGAGAAGGCAUGGGGUGCAGCUGGCGAUAACCCCAGGCUUUUGAACACAAGAUGUCCCCUACAUGGCUCUCCCAGCAUCCAGCCUCCUGCCUAGUGCUGUGGGCCGAUGAACUAAGGACCCAGGCCUGAAGCUCCAGCCAAAAGCACUCAGAAUGUAAUUCCUCUGCUCUUCUCCCAGACACGAUUCUGAAGGAGUAGAUGUCACCCCAGCCAGUCAUUAUCCCAGAAUCCACCCCACAGAGCACGACUGCAUCAAUCAAACAUUUAAUUAGUUAAUAAGAAAUGUCCGUUGAGAAACCACAAA